CCUACGGGUGGCAGCAGUGAGGAAUAUUGGUCAAUGGGCGCGAGCCUGAACCAGCCAAGUCGCGUGAAGGAUGACUGCCCUACGGGUUGUAAACUUCUUUUAUAAAGGAACAAAGUGAGGCACGUGUCCCGUGUCGUAAGUACCCUGUGAAUAAGGAUCGGCUAACUCCGUGCCAGCAGCCGCGGUAAUACGGAGGAUCCGAGCGUUCUCCGGAUUUAUUGGGUUUAAAGGGAGCGUAGGUGGGGUGGUAAGUCAGUUGGUAAAAUUUGGGGCUCAACCGUAAAAUUGCAAUUGAUACUGGCAGCCUUGAGUGCAGUAGAGGUAGGCGGAAUUCGUGGUGUAGCGGUGAAAUGCUUAGAUAUCACGAAGAACUCCGAUUGCGAAGGCAGCCUAC
Molecule: ribosomal RNA, 394 nt
Filed under: uncultured bacterium
Lineage: Bacteria
Description: partial 16S ribosomal RNA
Rfam family: Bacterial small subunit ribosomal RNA
Source: RNAcentral